Molecule: ribosomal RNA, 111 nt
Filed under: Caerostris darwini
Lineage: Eukaryota; Metazoa; Arthropoda; Arachnida; Araneae; Araneidae
Source: RNAcentral
ACGGCCGUACCAUGCUGAAUAUACCGGUUCUCGUUCGAUCACCGAAGUCAAGCAUCAUUGGGCGCGGUCAGUACUUGGGUGGGUGACCACCUGGGAACACCGCGUGCCGUU